UACGUAGGGCGCAAGCGUUGUCCGGAAUUAUUGGGCAUAAAGAGCUCGUAGGCGGCUUGUCACGUCGGGUGUGAAAGACCGGGGCUUAACCCCGGUUCUGCAUUCGAUACGGGCUAGCUAGAGUGUGGUAGGGGAGAUCGGAAUUCCUGGUGUAGCGGUGAAAUGCGCAGAUAUCAGGAGGAACACCGGUGGCGAAGGCGGAUCUCUGGGCCAUUACUGACGCUGAGGAGCGAAAGCGUGGGGAGCGAACAGG
This 253-nucleotide ribosomal RNA is filed under the name uncultured bacterium. RNAcentral describes it as "partial 16S ribosomal RNA". It matches the Rfam family "Bacterial small subunit ribosomal RNA", at positions 524 to 776 of the family's 1533-position model. The record is from RNAcentral.